UAACACGUAGCCAACCUACCUUUCCGUCCGGGAUAACUAGCCGAAAGGUUAGCUAAUACCUGAUGCGAUCGUCGAACGGCAUCGUACGACGAUGAAAGCAGCAAUGCGCGGAUUGAGGGGGCUGCGGCCCAUUAGCUAGUUGGUGAGGUAACGGCCCACCAAGGCGACGAUGGGUAGCUGGUCUGAGAGGACGACCAGUCACACUGGGACUGAGAAACGGCCCAG
RNAcentral lists this ribosomal RNA (225 nucleotides) under uncultured bacterium. RNAcentral describes it as "partial 16S ribosomal RNA". It matches the Rfam family "Bacterial small subunit ribosomal RNA", at positions 111 to 334 of the family's 1533-position model. The record is from RNAcentral.